RNAcentral lists this ribosomal RNA (733 nucleotides) under uncultured euryarchaeote. RNAcentral's name for it is "bacterial SSU rRNA". It matches the Rfam family "Archaeal small subunit ribosomal RNA", at positions 85 to 820 of the family's 1478-position model. The record is from RNAcentral. Lineage: Archaea; Methanobacteriati; Methanobacteriota.
ACGGCUCAGUAACACGUCGAUAAUCUACCUUUGAGUCUGGAAUAACCUUGGGAAACUGAGGCUAAGACCGGAUAGGGAAAUUGUUCUGGAAAUGAUUUUUUCCGAAAAGGCAACGCUCAAAGAUGAGUCGGCGGCGGAUUAGGCUGUUGGCGGGGUAAUGGCCCACCAAACCUGAGAUCCGUAAGGGCCCUGGGAGGGGUAGCCCUGAGAAGGACACUGCGAUACUGGUCCUAGCCCUACGGGGUGCAGCAGGCGCGAAAACUUUACAAUGCACGCAAGUGUGAUAAGGGAAUCCUAAGUGCUUAUACUUUUGUAUAGGCUUUUGCCAUGAGCAAAAAUCAUGGCGGAUAAGUGGUGGGUAAGACUGGUGCCAGCCGCCGCGGUAACCCCAGCGCCACAAGUGGCAACCGUCAUUAUUGGGCCUAAAGCGUCCGUAGCCGGUUUGUCAAAUCUCUUGUGAAAUUGUGAGGCUUAACCUUACAACGUGCAGGAGACACUAACAAACUUGGAACCGGGAGGGGUCAGAAGUAUGCCUGGGGGAGCGGUAAAAUGUUAUAAUCCCAGGUAGACUACCUAUGGCGAAGGCAUCUGACCAGAACGGAUUCGACGGUGAGGGACGAAAGCUAGGGGAGCAAAACGGAUUAGAUACCCGAGUAGUCCUAGCUGUAAACUCUGCGAACUAGGUGUUGCAUAUUCUUCGUGAAUAUGCGGUGUCGAAACGAAGGUGAUAAGC